This 85-nucleotide non-coding RNA is filed under the name Ferrimonas sediminum. RNAcentral's name for it is "GEMM cis-regulatory element". It matches the Rfam family "c-di-GMP-I riboswitch aptamer". Rfam says of the family: GEMM was predicted in a large-scale screen for bacterial structured RNA regulatory elements. Lineage: Bacteria; Pseudomonadati; Pseudomonadota; Gammaproteobacteria; Alteromonadales; Ferrimonadaceae. The record is from RNAcentral.
AGCAGACAAAGGCAAAACCAGCGAGAGCUGGCGACGCAAAAUCUCCGGUCUUAAGGCGUAGGCCAAAGAUAGCGGGAUUACCUCA